UUUUGUUAUAUAUAGCACAUGAAAUCUUAUUCAUCAAAACACUAAAUUUUGUUUCUUCUCUCAAAUAUAUCGUCGUCUUCAUUGCUUAAGUCAUGAAUCGUUUAUGCUUUUUUAACAAAGUUGUAAAAGUUGCCCGUGGUGAUUCACCUCCUUUUGAUCUUGCUUCUUUACCUCCCAAAGAACAACGAGAUGUAAAAUUGAUUUUGCUUACUUUAAGAUUGCAGCUACUUACAAAUAUAGUUUAUGUUAUCUUUAUAUGACCUAAAUUUCUCUUUUUUUGUAGUUGAUUGGUGAAACUUUGUUCUUUAUGGUGGAAGAACUUGAGCCACAGUUUGCACCAAAAAUCACAGGAAUGAUUCUUGAAUUGGACCAAGACAAGGUCCUUCAUCUGCUGGUAACACCUAAAGCCUUCAAAGAAAUGGUCAAAGAGGCAAUGGAGGUCCUAGCGCACUCCUUUCUGCAACAGAUGAAAAUUGCUAGGGGAAAAAGAUGUUAGCAAGUUCCUACCUUCCAUGCUCCCCGCUAAACUUUGAAAUGUUUGUUUGGUUUUUGUUCAUUAAUAUGAGCAACAAAAUGUGGCUUUAAGUUGAGUUUUAAAUCUUUGUUUUCAUUUAAAAAAAA
RNAcentral lists this small RNA (621 nucleotides) under Arabidopsis thaliana (thale cress). RNAcentral's name for it is "ATSL142200". The record is from RNAcentral. Lineage: Eukaryota; Viridiplantae; Streptophyta; Magnoliopsida; Brassicales; Brassicaceae.